Molecule: ribosomal RNA, 199 nt
Filed under: uncultured Lactobacillus sp.
Lineage: Bacteria; Bacillati; Bacillota; Bacilli; Lactobacillales; Lactobacillaceae
Description: partial 16S ribosomal RNA
Rfam family: Bacterial small subunit ribosomal RNA
Source: RNAcentral
ACUCCUACGGGAGGCAGCAGUAGGGAAUCUUCCACAAUGGACGAAAGUCUGAUGGAGCAAUGCCGCGUGAGUGAAGAAGGUUUUCGGAUCGUAAAACUCUGUUGUUGAAGAAGAACAUAUGUGAGAGUAACUGUUCACGUACUGACGGUAUUCAACCAGAAAGCCACGGCUAACUACGUGCCAGCAGCCGCGGUAAUAC